AGCCAUUCAGCAAGAUCAGGUUCUACUGUUGAGGAUGCUUCACAACAUGCUGAAGUUACUGCUGGAAUCUACACAACCAAGAGAAAAUGCUGCAGUAGGAGGGUCUUCCACUGUGGCAUCACCCAAAGGGGAUUGAAAAAGAGAAAUGUAAAAGUACAAAGCCAAUUAUGUAAGCAAGAGUGACAGGAAAACCAGAAAAAUAAAGGACCUUAUGUGCUUAUAAAGAAAAAGAAGACAUCAAUGU
Callithrix jacchus (white-tufted-ear marmoset) is the source of this 244-nucleotide long non-coding RNA. RefSeq lists it as uncharacterized. Lineage: Eukaryota; Metazoa; Chordata; Mammalia; Primates; Cebidae. The record is from RefSeq and is a predicted model, not a curated record.